RNAcentral lists this ribosomal RNA (913 nucleotides) under Penicillium citreonigrum. RNAcentral's name for it is "LSU rRNA". It matches the Rfam family "Eukaryotic large subunit ribosomal RNA", at positions 38 to 966 of the family's 3401-position model. The record is from RNAcentral. Lineage: Eukaryota; Fungi; Ascomycota; Eurotiomycetes; Eurotiales; Aspergillaceae.
GCAUAUCAAUAAGCGGAGGAAAAAGAAACCAACAGGGGAUUGCCUCAGUAACGGCGAGUGAAGCGGCAAGAGCUCAAAUUUGAAAGCUGGCUCCUUCGGGGUCCGCAUUGUAAUUUGCAGAGGAUGCUUCGGGAGCGGCCCCCAUCUAAGUGCCCUGGAACGGGCCGUCAUAGAGGGUGAGAAUCCCGUAUGGGAUGGGGUGCCCGCGACCAUGUGAAGCUCCUUCGACGAGUCGAGUUGUUUGGGAAUGCAGCUCUAAAUGGGUGGUAAAUUUCAUCUAAAGCUAAAUAUUGGCCGGAGACCGAUAGCGCACAAGUAGAGUGAUCGAAAGAUGAAAAGCACUUUGAAAAGAGAGUUAAAAAGCACGUGAAAUUGUUGAAAGGGAAGCGCUUGCGACCAGACUCGCCCGCGGGGUUCAGCCGGUAUUCGUACCGGUGUACUUCCCCGCGGGCGGGCCAGCGUCGGUUUGGGCGGCCGGUCAAAGGCCCUCGGAAUGUAACGCCUCUCGGGGCGUCUUAUAGCCGAGGGUGCCAUGCGGCCAGCCCGGACCGAGGAACGCGCUUCGGCACGGACGCUGGCAUAAUGGUCGUAAGCGACCCGUCUUGAAACACGGACCAAGGAGUCUAACAUCUACGCGAGUGUUCGGGUGUCAAACCCGUGCGCGCAGUGAAAGCGAACGGAGGUGGGAACCCUUUGGGUGCACCAUCGACCGAUCCUGAUGUCUUCGGAUGGAUUUGAGUAAGAGCGUAGCUGUUGGGACCCGAAAGAUGGUGAACUAUGCCUGAAUAGGGCGAAGCCAGAGGAAACUCUGGUGGAGGCUCGCAGCGGUUCUGACGUGCAAAUCGAUCGUCAAAUUUGGGUAUAGGGGGCGAAAGACUAAUCGAACCAUCUAGUAGCUGGAUCCCUGCCGAAG